Molecule: ribosomal RNA, 497 nt
Filed under: uncultured bacterium
Lineage: Bacteria
Description: partial 16S ribosomal RNA
Rfam family: Bacterial small subunit ribosomal RNA
Source: RNAcentral
GAUGAACGCUGGCGGCGUGCCUAAUACAUGCAAGUCGAGCGAACAGACGAGGAGCUUGCUCCUCUGACGUUAGCGGCGGACGGGUGAGUAACACGUGGAUAACCUACCUAUAAGACUGGGAUAACUUCGGGAAACCGGAGCUAAUACCGGAUAAUAUAUUGAACCGCAUGGUUCAAUAGUGAAAGACGGUUUUGCUGUCACUUAUAGAUGGAUCCGCGCCGCAUUAGCUAGUUGGUAAGGUAACGGCUUACCAAGGCAACGAUGCGUAGCCGACCUGAGAGGGUGAUCGGCCACACUGGAACUGAGACACGGUCCAGACUCCUACGGGAGGCAGCAGUGGGGAAUCUUCCGCAAUGGGCGAAAGCCUGACGGAGCAACGCCGCGUGGGUGAAGAAGGUCUUCGGGUUGUAAAACUCUGUUAUUAGGGAAGAACAAAUGUGUAAGUAACUAUGCACGUCUUGACGGUACCUAAUCAGAAAGCCACGGCUAACUACGUG